AAAUCUAAUGGCUUAACCAUUAAACUGCUUGGGAAACUGAUAGUCUAGAGUGAGGGAGAGGCAGAUGGAAUUGGUGGUGUAGGGGUAAAAUCCGUAGAUAUCACCAAGAAUACCCAUUGCGAAGGCGAUCUGCUGGAACUCAACUGACGCUAAGGCGCGAAAGCGUGGGGAGCAAACAGGAUUAGAUACCCUGGUAGUCCACGCCCUAAACGAUGUACACUAGUUGUUGGGGUGCUAGUCAUCUCAGUAAUGCAGCUAACGCAUUAAGUGUACCGCCUGGGGAGUACGGUCGCAAGAUUAAAACUCAAAGGAAUAGACGGGGACCCGCACAAGCGGUGGAGCAUGUGGUUUAAUUCGAAGAUACGCGAAGAACCUUACCUGGGCUUGAUAUCCUAAGAACCUUUUAGAGAUAAGAGGGUGCUAGCUUGCUAGAACUUAGAGACAGGUGCUGCACGGCUGUCGUCAGCUCGUGUCGUGAGAUGUUGGGUUAAGUCCCGCAACGAGCGCAACCCACGUAUUUAGUUGCUAACGGUUCGGCCGAGCACUCUAAAUAGACUGCCUUCGUAAGGAGGAGGAAGGUGUGGACGACGUCAAGUCAUCAUGGCCCUUAUGCCCAGGGCGACACACGUGCUACAAUGGCAUAUACAAUGAGACGCAAUACCGCGAGGUGGAGCAAAUCUAUAAAAUAUGUCCCAGUUCGGAUUGUUCUCUGCAACUCGAGAGCAUGAAGCCGGAAUCGCUAGUAAUCGUAGAUCAGCCAUGCUACGGUGAAUACGUUCCCGGGUCUUGUACUCACCGCCCGUCACACCAUGGGAGUUGAUUUCACUCGAAGCCGGA
RNAcentral lists this ribosomal RNA (837 nucleotides) under Campylobacter jejuni. Its description in RNAcentral is "bacterial SSU rRNA". It matches the Rfam family "Bacterial small subunit ribosomal RNA", at positions 597 to 1431 of the family's 1533-position model. The record is from RNAcentral. Lineage: Bacteria; Pseudomonadati; Campylobacterota; Epsilonproteobacteria; Campylobacterales; Campylobacteraceae.